Molecule: long non-coding RNA, 237 nt
Filed under: Gallus gallus (chicken)
Lineage: Eukaryota; Metazoa; Chordata; Aves; Galliformes; Phasianidae
Source: RNAcentral
CACUGUUUCUCACUCAAAAAUUGUGAGACUGGAGUUACCACAGACACUAAGGUCUACAGAAAAUCCACUCAAUAUAUCAUGUGACAGCAGGAAACAGGCAUGCCUACUCUGGAAACUCAGAAUGGGACCAUUACCAUUCCCAGGGAGCAAUGUACUGAAAGAAACAUGAUGUGUUCUCCUAGUCCCACUGGAAAAAGAAUGUAUAAGUGGAAACCAAAAUAAAGAGCUAACUUCGGC